AACUUACGGUAAACAUAUAGAAGCAUGCUAGGCUUGACUGUUUUGUUGACUGUCUCUUUUUAUUUCCUAUGCAGCAAUUUUACUCUUUCACGGAACCACAAGGCCUGCUGGCUUCCAUUGUUUUUGUCUAGUCAAGGUAAGUCGCAUGGUUGCAAGCCAGACGGUGACUGUUUUGUUGACUGUCUCCUUUUAUUUCCUAUGCAGCAAUUUUACUCUUUCACGGAACCACAAGGCCUGCUGGCUUCCAUUGUUUUUGUCUAGUCAAGCAAUUUUACUCUUUCACGGAACCACAAGGCCUGCUGGCUUCCAUUGUUUUUGUCUAGUCAAGCAAUUUUACUCUUUCACGGAACCACAAGGCCUGCUGGCUUCCAUUGUUUUUGUCUAGUCAAGAGCAAACUUCUGUGGGCAGCCAGUGGUAUCCAAGAGGGAAGGGACCAGGAUUGCUGUGGUUACUGCAGCUGCGUCUUAUUUUAUGUGGUCACCUUUUCUACUGUAUUUAAAAAUUUUGUAAAACCAUUCUGCAUGUCCUUUAAUUUAUUAGUCAAUAA
This is a long non-coding RNA of Dermacentor silvarum, 548 nucleotides long. RefSeq lists it as uncharacterized. The record is from RefSeq and is a predicted model, not a curated record. Lineage: Eukaryota; Metazoa; Arthropoda; Arachnida; Ixodida; Ixodidae. The transcript has 4 exons.